CAACUUAUAGCUCAGUCAGUAAAGAAUCUGCCUUCAGUGCAGGAGACCCGGGUUCGAUUCCUGGGUUGG
Molecule: transfer RNA, 69 nt
Filed under: Bos taurus (domestic cattle)
Lineage: Eukaryota; Metazoa; Chordata; Mammalia; Artiodactyla; Bovidae
Also listed under: 4 other names
Rfam family: tRNA
About the family: Transfer RNA (tRNA) molecules are approximately 80 nucleotides in length. Their secondary structure includes four short double-helical elements and three loops (D, anti-codon, and T loops).
Source: Rfam by way of RNAcentral